Molecule: ribosomal RNA, 200 nt
Filed under: uncultured bacterium
Lineage: Bacteria
Description: partial 16S ribosomal RNA
Rfam family: Bacterial small subunit ribosomal RNA
Source: RNAcentral
AACGAACGCUGGCGGCAGGCUUAACACAUGCAAGUCGAACGCCCCGCAAGGGGAGUGGCAGACGGGUGAGUAACGCGUGGGAAUCUACCUAGUUCUACGGAACAACAGAGGGAAACUUCUGCUAAUACCGUAUAGGCCCUACGGGGGAAAGAUUUAUCGGAAUUAGAUGAGCCCGCGUAAGAUUAGCUAGUUGGUGGGGU